GCCAUGGUGGUGGAGUGGUUAAAUGUUCAGCUGCUAACUGAAAGGUCAGUGGUUUGAAUCCACCAGUGGCU
Molecule: transfer RNA, 71 nt
Filed under: Loxodonta africana (African savanna elephant)
Lineage: Eukaryota; Metazoa; Chordata; Mammalia; Proboscidea; Elephantidae
Rfam family: tRNA
About the family: Transfer RNA (tRNA) molecules are approximately 80 nucleotides in length. Their secondary structure includes four short double-helical elements and three loops (D, anti-codon, and T loops). Further hydrogen bonds mediate the characteristic L-shaped molecular structure. tRNAs have two regions of fundamental functional importance: the anti-codon, which is responsible for specific mRNA codon recognition, and the 3' end, to which the tRNAs corresponding amino acid is attached (by aminoacyl-tRNA synthetases). tRNAs cope with the degeneracy of the genetic code in two manners: having more than one tRNA (with a specific anti-codon) for a particular amino acid; and 'wobble' base-pairing, i.e. permitting non-standard base-pairing at the 3rd anti-codon position.
Source: Rfam by way of RNAcentral